ACCAUUGAGAGAAGGUGGCUGCUGCCCUCAGCCAAGAUGGCUGCCAAGUGGUCAACCCGUCGACUUGGCUACUAGGAACCAAAAUGGCCUCCGCCCUCAGCCAAGAUGGCCACCAAAGUUUGGGGGAGUCGACCUUUGAGAGAAGGUGGCUGCUGCCCUCAGCCAAGAUGGCUGCCAAGUGGUCAACCCGUCGACUUGGCUACUAGGAAACAAAAUGGCCGCCGCCCUCAACAAAGAUGGCCGCCAAAGGUUGGGGGAGUCGACCAUUGAGAGAAGGUGGCUGCUGCCCUCAGCCAAGAUGGCCGACUGGGGGUCAAUGCACUGAGUCAAGAUGGCCGCCAAGUGGUCAACCCAUUGACCUGGCUACUAGGAAACAAAAUGGCCACUGCCCUCAGCCAAGAUGGCCGACUGGGGCUCAACCCAUUGAGCCAAGAUGGCUGCCGCCCUCAUCCAAGAUGGCCGGCAGGGGCUCAACCCAUGGAACCAAGAUGGCCGCCGCCCUCAUCCAAGAUGGCCGACAGGGGCUCAACCCGCUGAGACAAGAUGGCUGCCAAGGGGUCGUCCCAUUGUGCACCCCACUGGGACAGCCAAGAUGGCCGCCACCGGAAGUCCCCCCGCCUCAACAUGGACGCCACAUCAAGCCCCUCCCCUUUCACCGGAAGUCCCUCCUCCUUUCAGCC
Molecule: long non-coding RNA, 680 nt
Filed under: Numida meleagris (helmeted guineafowl)
Lineage: Eukaryota; Metazoa; Chordata; Aves; Galliformes; Numididae
Description: lncRNA (ENSNMEG00000004999.1)
Source: RNAcentral